CAGCAGCCGCGGUAAUACGUAGGGGGCAAGCGUUAUUCGGAAUUACUGGGCGUAAAGGGCGUGUAGGCGGCUUUGUAAGCCUGAUGUGAAAGCCACCGGCUCAACCGGUGGAUUGCGUUUGGAACUGCAGAGCUUGAGUGAUGGAGAGGAAGGUAGAAUUCCUGGUGUAGGGGUGAAAUCUGUAGAAAUCAGGAGGAAUACCAAUGGCGAAGGCGGCUUUCUGGACUGACCCUGACGCUGAGGUGCGAAAGCGUGGGUAGCAAACAGGAUUAGAUACCCUGGUAGUCCACGCCCUAAACGAUGGAUACUAGGUGUGGGAGGAAUCAACCCCUUCCGUGCCGCAGCUAACGCGUGAAGUUUACCGCCUGGGGAGUACGGUCGCAAGACUAAAACUCAAAGGAAUUGACGG
RNAcentral lists this ribosomal RNA (409 nucleotides) under uncultured bacterium. RNAcentral's name for it is "bacterial SSU rRNA". It matches the Rfam family "Bacterial small subunit ribosomal RNA", at positions 509 to 916 of the family's 1533-position model. The record is from RNAcentral.